GGCCCCAUCGUCUAAUGGUUAGGAUCCAUGGUUUUCAUCCAUGUCAUAGGAGUUCAAAUCUCCUUGGGGUCACCA
Molecule: transfer RNA, 75 nt
Filed under: Sulfurimonadaceae bacterium
Lineage: Bacteria; Pseudomonadati; Campylobacterota; Epsilonproteobacteria; Campylobacterales; Sulfurimonadaceae
Description: tRNA-Glu
Rfam family: tRNA
About the family: Transfer RNA (tRNA) molecules are approximately 80 nucleotides in length.
Source: RNAcentral